AUGUUCUUAUGGAUUGUUGGAGGCCCUCAAUCAUUUGCUCAAGCCGAGAACCAUUUUAUACGGUCACUUUGGACAGUUCAUACAAAGUUUAAGGAAGUUUUGUUAUGUUUGCGCAAGUUAGCGAAAGAUAACAUCAAACCUACAGAUCCUACUUUUAUCCAUGAGCAUGAAAAGAUUAAGGAAGAGCGUUUCUGGCCCCAUUUCAAAGGUGCUAUUGGUGCCAUAGAUGGAUCACAUGUGCCAGUUUCAGUGCCUGCAGAUGAUGUGGUUAACCAUAGAUGCCGGCAUGGUUUUACAUCUCAGAAUGUGCUUGCAGUAUGUGACUUUGACAUGAGGUUUACCUUUAUGGUUGCGGGUUGGCCGGGCUGUGCACGUGAUACAUGGGUCUUGAAUCACGCAUUAGCACACUUCCCUUCAUUUCAUAUACCUCCCAAAGGUAUAAUGUACUGA
RNAcentral lists this ribosomal RNA (450 nucleotides) under Triticum aestivum (bread wheat). RNAcentral describes it as "partial small subunit ribosomal RNA". The record is from RNAcentral. Lineage: Eukaryota; Viridiplantae; Streptophyta; Magnoliopsida; Poales; Poaceae.